GGGGAGAAGGGAGGGGGAGGCACGUCCACCCCUCGGCUGCGGUUCUUCGGGGACCUCAAGACCUGGCUGCCGUUAACCCUUUGCGGCUCGAUCCCGCCCCGGUUAUUGCGUAACUAUUUUCGACAAUGUCCUCGGCCGCGGUUCUUCGGGGAUUUUGGGACCCACGUAAUGGCCACGCUUUGCGGUCCAAUUUGCCGCCUCGGUUGCGGAACCGCGCGAUCCACCUUUAUUUCUCGCUUUUAGCAUUUCUUUCUUCCAUUUUUUUUUCCACCAAGAGAAUUGGGAUUAUGACGAGGGUCCGGUUAUGAAC
This is a long non-coding RNA of Apis florea (little honeybee), 310 nucleotides long. The record is from RefSeq and is a predicted model, not a curated record. Lineage: Eukaryota; Metazoa; Arthropoda; Insecta; Hymenoptera; Apidae.